RNAcentral lists this long non-coding RNA (1004 nucleotides) under Oryctolagus cuniculus (rabbit). RNAcentral describes it as "lncRNA (ENSOCUG00000034699.1)". Lineage: Eukaryota; Metazoa; Chordata; Mammalia; Lagomorpha; Leporidae. The record is from RNAcentral.
CAAUUACAGAGGUAAAAUAAUAUCACAGGAUGUCUGAAUAGUAGCAGAAUGUCAUAUAAUCAGAAUAUUUCUCAAGAGAAUAAAAGAAGCAAAAAAACCUUGCUGCUUUUUUAAUUUGAAGAUAGGAUGUUAGGAAACAAGCUAGGAUGAUAUUUUUUUGAUCAAAGAUCAACAAGCAAAAAGAUAUAUUUGAAAAUACAAAAUGACACAAACUUCUGUAGUUGAUUAUUAGUCUCAUCCAGAACUACAAAAUCAACAUAUCCUUAUAGAAAUUCACGGGAGAAAUGGCAAAAAGAAGCUAAAACAGUUGAUGAUCCUUGAUUGCCUCUUUAUUACUUACAGUUCCCAGUAUUGAGGAGAUAGAGAAAAUUUUACUUUAAACUUUUUUUUUCUGAAAACAGAGAAAUCACAUUCCAGGAAAAUUCUGUUAGAGUCAUUUUUUUGUUUUCAGGACUUUGGUGAUGAGGGCAAUUCUUUUGCAUUAAACUUUUAAUUAAUAUCAGCAUUUUAACAAAACUUACUAAAAUUUUAAAUGUCUUCUCUACCUUUAGACUGUAUCAAGGAUCUUCCAAGGACAACUGAAGCUGCCUAUUUCCUGUACCAGCUGGACAAGGUCUCUUGGAAUGUGCCUUCUGGCUUCCUGGAUGAUCACUAGCCAGGUGUCAGUUGGAGAGUUUCAGCAUCCCAAUACCUUCAAGAUCAAUUUUGACAAGUGCCUCCGAGUACAAGUUUCUAUUGCCAGUGGCAGUCAGGUGAGCAGCAAGGGGAUAAAUAAGAACAGAGUAUUUGGCCCUUAGGAAACUAAAGAUACCAUCCAAAAAUCACAGGACAUUGGCGUGAAGCUAAAUAAUAAGAAUAUGUACCGUGUACCUUAAAUCACCAUCAAGAUUUCUCCUCUUUAUAACCCUUUUGGCGUGAAAUAUCCAGAGAAGAAAGUUUUAGCAUAAUAUAGUUCUUUUAAAGAAGCUUGGGUUGAGCAGAGCCUUAGUUUUAUUGAACUAGCA